This is a non-coding RNA of Cinara cedri, 2236 nucleotides long. NCBI's taxonomy places the organism in Eukaryota, Metazoa, Arthropoda, Insecta, Hemiptera, Aphididae. The record is from the annotation of a GenBank genome assembly.
GUAACUAUGUAAGUACGUGCCGUCCACCGUGCAUCUAUAAAUCUAUAAUAUUUUGUUGAUGUUAAAAUAAUAUGCGGAAUCACCAUGCGGUGUUUGUCAAAACUACAAUCCGAUUGGCGGCGGCCCGUAUAAAAGACACGAAUAACCAUCAUUCGCAUAAUAAUCGGUUUUGUCGAAAUAUAACCCAAAUAAUACUUCAAUAAGUAUAUAAUAAGUAACAAAUAUUAUUCUCGAAUCCGUCCCAGAGUAUUAUACGAAAAUGGCGUACAACUUUAUACUAACAACAGUGUACUUGAUGGGUCUUCUGUUGGCCGUCUUCGCCGUUACUCGAGUAAGUAUACAGUAUAUACCGUAUUAUUACAAUAUAAUAACAGCAACGAUAAUGAUUUCCAUGGCUGUCAAAUUUUCCUCGAAAAUGGACACUGUUGCGCCAUCAUAUUGUGUGUAAAGGUCUAUUGAUUUUUUUUUAUCUUUUUCCGGCCGCUAUACUUUUCGUUAAGUGACACUUUUAACGGCUCCCUCGGGACCGGAUAAACUUAAACUCGAUAGUUAGAGUUGUUUAAUAAUAGACGGAUUGAAGGUAUAGAAGUCUGGUCGAAUUUUAAUACGAAUUUCACCGAAGGGCGAAGAGAGUGAUUUUUUUUUUUAAACUUUAAACAUCCCUGUAAAUACAGACUUUUUAAAUAAAACCGGGGCCCCGGUGACAUUUUGUGUAUGUAUCGCGUUAUAGUACCAACAGGGCCGUGUAUUUUUUCAAAUUUAGUAUAAUAGCUGUAGUAAUAUAGUAUUUCGGUUAUUUAUUGUUAUAUAGAACAACAAUAAACAAUGCAAAAUAAGUUGGGGAAAAUUCGACUUUAUGAUGAAGUAGAUCUGUUUUUUUUUAAUAUCGAAUAAUUAAAGAGGUCAACUGUACUGCUUCUGGGUCUUGUGGCGUUGCGAGAGUGCAGCGUCGUUUACUUUCCUUUGUGGCGAAUGUUUUUAAUAUCAAGCAUCCCCAGCACGAUUACACUAGUGUCUUUAGCUACCUCUCUCUUAUUCAAUAUAGUAGACAAAAUAAUAUCUGCUAAUAUUCGAUCCUUGAUCAAGCUACUAGAUAGAUAGCUCCAUUAACUGCCCUUCCCUACUAUUCCAGAUUAACUUCAGAGUUCCUCCUCGCGUGCGUUUUCACGCUCCCUUUUUUAUUCUAGCGUAAUCAGUGUUCUUUUGUUGUAAACUAUCCUUUAUACUAUUAGUAAUAUGAUUAGUUAUUUAAGUAUUGUUAAUCUAACGUUCUAAACGAUUCUCUAUAUGUAACAAUACUAUUAUAUUUCUAUGUAAAAUUGCCCAUUGGGGCGUAAAUAAAUAAAAUUAACCGACAUUUUUAAAAUCGUUUAGAAGAGGAUGAUUUAAAACGAAAACUGUGUAAAAUUCAUUGGAACAUUUUUGCGUUUAAACAUUUGCAUUAUGGAUAAAUAAAUAAUUCUAGGUGGGCUCAAUAGAACUUCAAUGUAAAUUUCAAAAUAUCUUUACUGAUUUAUUAAAAAAUGUUAGUAAACAAUUAAAAAUCCGUAAAAUGUAUUUACCAGUGUAAACAAACUACAGUACUUUUUUCCACAGAAAAUAACAACAACUAAUGCCAAUGCUAACCAAUGGUGACAUACUAACAUACUAUAACGCCUUUAUUCACUUACAACAACUUUUAUCGAUUGAACGUUUUUGUAAUACUAUUGUUAUUGACAAAUCAAAUAUUAAUAACUAAUUAUUGUUAUUAUUAUUAUUGAUGAGUCAACAAUCAUUAUUUUUUUGUGAAAUAACAACAAUUUCCGAAAAAAAUACCAGUUAAUUAUCCACAGACUCCUUCAGUUAUAAAUUUUAUUUCGUUAGGCGUGCUCAGUACCCGUUUCUAUAACGGGCGGUGGUGUGUGUGGCUGCUGUGGAUGCAACGAUGGCUCCUGCGCAUGUUGUGACGGCGGUACAGGAGGAGGUUAUGGAAAAUAUCUCCAUUAAAUCGAAUACUUAAUUGUAUUAUUUGGAAUUUGACGAUGAAAAAAAACAAAUGCUUAAUUUAUCGUCUCUAAGGCGAAACGUGGCCGGAAUCGAUUUUGGACAGAUUAUCAUAAGAAAAAAAAAUUUUUUUAAAUGCGAAAUAACGUGAUUAUAAAAUAAAAAUAAACUGUUUAAUUUCAAACCGUUUAUUUUGUAAUAUAUAACCUAACGCUAAGCGCAUAUUGUAUCCUGUAUAAAUUACCGUGUUUGC